This 381-nucleotide RNase P RNA is filed under the name Thauera phenolivorans. RNAcentral's name for it is "RNase P RNA component class A". It matches the Rfam family "Bacterial RNase P class A". Rfam says of the family: Ribonuclease P (RNase P) is a ubiquitous endoribonuclease, found in archaea, bacteria and eukarya as well as chloroplasts and mitochondria. Its best characterised activity is the generation of mature 5'-ends of tRNAs by cleaving the 5'-leader elements of precursor-tRNAs. The record is from RNAcentral. Lineage: Bacteria; Pseudomonadati; Pseudomonadota; Betaproteobacteria; Rhodocyclales; Zoogloeaceae.
GAAGUUCGCCAGGCAGUCGCUGCACGUGUUUCGCGUGUGGAGGAAAGUCCGGGCCCCGCAGAGCAGAAUGCCGGCUAACGGCCGGGCGCCGUGAGGCGACGGAAAGUGCAACAGAGAGCAGACCGCCGAUGGCCUCGCGAGGGGAUCAGGCAAGGGUGAAAGGGUGGGGUAAGAGCCCACCGCAGGACUGGUGACAGGACUGGCACGGUAAACCCCAUUCGGGGCAAGGCCAAAUAGGGGAGCAUCGGCGUGGCUCGCGUCGCUCCCGGGUAGGCUGCUAGAGCGGCGCGGCAACGCGUCGCCCAGAGGAAUGACUGCCCGGCGGUCGUGGUUCGCGCCACCGCCGCUCGACAGAACCCGGCUUAUCGGCGAACUUCCCCA